GAUGAACGCUAGCGGCAGGCUUAACACAUGCAAGUCGAGGGGCAGCAUAAAUAGUAGCAAUACUAUUGGUGGCGACCGGCGGACGGGUGCGUAACGCGUAUACAACCUUCCCUAAACAGGGGGAUAAUCUGGAGAAAUUCGGUCUAAUACCCCAUAACAUCAGAGCAGGCAUCUGUUUUGGUUAAAAUUUCCGGAGGUUUAGGAUGGGUAUGCGUAGCAUUAGCUAGUUGGUGAGGUAACGGCUCACCAAGGCGACGAUGCUUAGGGGGACUGAGAGGUUAACCCCCCACACUGGUACUGGGAAACGGACCAGACUCCUACGGGAGGCGGCGGUGAGGAAUAUUGGUCAAUGGGCGGAAGCCUGAACCAGCCAUGCCGCGUGCAGGAUGACGGCUCUAUGAGUUGUAAACUGCUUUUGUACGAGGGUAAAGUGGGCUACGUGUAGCCUUUUGAAAGUAUCGUACGAAUAAGGAUCGGCUAACUCCGUGCCAGCCGCCGCCGUAA
This 504-nucleotide ribosomal RNA is filed under the name uncultured bacterium. RNAcentral describes it as "partial 16S ribosomal RNA". It matches the Rfam family "Bacterial small subunit ribosomal RNA", at positions 28 to 523 of the family's 1533-position model. The record is from RNAcentral.